This 197-nucleotide ribosomal RNA is filed under the name uncultured bacterium. RNAcentral's name for it is "partial 16S ribosomal RNA". It matches the Rfam family "Bacterial small subunit ribosomal RNA", at positions 336 to 526 of the family's 1533-position model. The record is from RNAcentral.
CUCCUACGGGAGGCAGCAGUAAGGAAUAUUGGUCAAUGGGCGCAAGCCUGAACCAGCCAUGCCGCGUGCAGGAAGACGGCCCUACGGGUUGUAAACUGCUUUUGCUAGGGGAAUAAAUCUCCCGACGUGUCGGGGGUUGAAGUGUACUCUGACGAAUAAGGAUCGGCUAACUCCGUGCCAGGCAGCCGCGGUAAUAC